GGGCUCCAUCUCCAGUGCCUACUGAGCUGAUUACAGUUGAUUUAUUGAGCACUGGCUCAGUUCAGCAGGAACCGGAGUUCUGCCUCUUA
RNAcentral lists this microRNA precursor (89 nucleotides) under Lepisosteus oculatus (spotted gar). Its description in RNAcentral is "miRNA (ENSLOCG00000020438.1)". The stretch from base 8 to 77 matches the Rfam family "mir-24 microRNA precursor family". Rfam says of the family: This family represents the microRNA (miRNA) mir-24 family. miRNAs are transcribed as ~70nt precursors (modelled here) and subsequently processed by the Dicer enzyme to give a ~22nt product. Lineage: Eukaryota; Metazoa; Chordata; Actinopteri; Semionotiformes; Lepisosteidae. The record is from RNAcentral.